This 334-nucleotide unclassified non-coding RNA is filed under the name soil metagenome. Its description in RNAcentral is "partial contains 5.8S ribosomal RNA, internal transcribed spacer 2, and large subunit ribosomal RNA". The stretch from base 1 to 120 matches the Rfam family "5.8S ribosomal RNA", at positions 35 to 154 of the family's 154-position model. The record is from RNAcentral.
GAUGAAGAACGUAGCGAAAUGCGAUAAGUAAUGCGAAUUGCAGAAUUCAGUGAAUCAUCGAAUCUUUGAACGCACAUUGCGCCCGCCAGUAUUCUGGCGGGCAUGCCUGUUCGAGCGUCAUUUCAACCAUCAAGCCCCCGGCUUGUGUUGGGGACCUGCGGCUGCCGCAGGCCCUGAAAUGCAGUGGCGGGCUCGCUGUUACUCCGAGCGUAGUAGUUACAUCUCGCUCUGGGCGUGCUGCGGGUUCCGGCCGUUAAAAGCCUUAUUUACCCAAGGUUGACCUCGGAUCAGGUAGGAAGACCCGCUGAACUUAAGCAUAUCAAUAAGCGGAGGA